RNAcentral lists this long non-coding RNA (1356 nucleotides) under Musa acuminata (dwarf banana). Its description in RNAcentral is "long non-coding RNA (MACU_LNC011082)". The record is from RNAcentral. Lineage: Eukaryota; Viridiplantae; Streptophyta; Magnoliopsida; Zingiberales; Musaceae.
CAGACAAGGUCACACCUCUUGUAUACGAUAAUUCGGGGGAUGUGACAAAGGUGGUAUCGGAGCAUGAUUUAAGGAUUACAAAAAUAUUUUAUUCAUUUGAUGUGAAAAAUUAUAUUGAGGUUUAGUAAAUUAUAUAGAGAUCGAUGAAAAUUAUACUUGAUGUCUUCUAGGAAUCUAGGAUGACAUCGACAUUUGGUCUUCUUGCUUAUGAAUUGUGGAUUAUGGGUGUGAAUUAUGAAUUGAACGAUUUUUGGUGUCCCCAAAUUUAGUUUGGAUUUUGUAUUAGAUUGUUGAUUAAAUUUUAAUAUUAUGGAUUUUAAGACAGGGUCACACCUCCUAAAUUUGAUAAUUCGGGGGGCGUGACAGAGGUGGUAUCAGAACAUUAUUUGAGGAUCACUGUAAUAUAUUUGAUACAUUUGAUGUGCCAAAUUAUAUUGCGAUUUAGUAAAUUAAAUAGAGAGCGAUAAAAAAUUUCUUUGAUAUCUUUUAGGAACCUAGGAUGCCAAGGACAUCUGGUCCUCUUGAGGAAUGAAGUAGGAAAGGUAAUGAAAUCGUAUUUUUAAAUUUUAGAGGAUGGCUUAUUGCGAUUUGGUAUAGAGUGUUUGUUCGAAAUGACCCAAAUUAUGAUUUGAAUAUUAAGAGAAAAGGACAUGACUCAAUGAUAUCGAUGGCUCUAUCUAUGUGCAAUCUGAUCUCAUUCAACAAAUUUAGAUAGGACAACUAUGAGAUCCAAAUAUAAUCUACUUGAGGAAUGAAGUAGAAAAGGAAUUUAAGUCGAAUUUCAAAUUUUGGAGGAUGGCCUUUUUAGUUUUGGAAUAGAGUAUGUGUUCUAAAUGACCCAAUUAUCAAUAACCAAAUCCUAAAACAAGGUAAUAAUUCAAAGUAUAUGAUAAUCCGGAUUAGAUUGUUGAUUACAUUUUUAUUUUAUGGAUUUUAAGACAAGCUCGCACCUCUUGUAUGUGAUAAUUUGGGGGGCGUGACAAAAGUGGUAUCGGAGCAUGAUUUAAGGAUUACUAUGAUAUUUGAUUAAUUUGAUGUGCAAAAUUAUAUUGAGGUUUAGUAAAGACAUCUGGUCCUUUUGAGGAAUGAAGUAGGAAAGGUAGUGAAGUCGAAUUUUUAAAUUUUUAAGGAUGACUUAUUGAGAUUUGGGAUAGAGUGUGUGUUCGAACUGACCCAAAUUAUGAUUUGAAUAUUAUGAUAAAAGGGCAUGACUUAAUGAUUUUGAUGGCCUCUAUAUAUGUGCAAUCUGAUCUCUUUCAACAAAUUUACAGACAGCAACUAAGAGAUACACAUUUAAUCUACUUAUGGAAUAAACUAGAAAAGGGAUUGAAGUCGAAUUUUUAAAUUUUGGACGAU